AGUAACGCGUGAGGAACCUGCCUCAAAGAGGGGGACAACAGUUGGAAACGACUGCUAAUACCGCAUAAGCCCACGGCUCGGCAUCGAGCAGAGGGAAAAGGAGCAAUCCGCUUUGAGAUGGCCUUGCGUCCGAUUAGCUAGUUGGUGAGGUAAUGGCCCACCAAGGCGACGAUCGGUAGCCGGACUGAGAGGUUGAACGGCCACAUUGGGACUGAGACACGGCCCAG
This 227-nucleotide ribosomal RNA is filed under the name uncultured bacterium. Its description in RNAcentral is "partial 16S ribosomal RNA". It matches the Rfam family "Bacterial small subunit ribosomal RNA", at positions 109 to 334 of the family's 1533-position model. The record is from RNAcentral.